GCCGCCAUGGCUCAGCUGGUAGAGCGGCUGCCUUGUAAGCAGCAGGUCGGGGGUCCGACUCCCCCUGGCGGCU
Molecule: transfer RNA, 73 nt
Filed under: Methanobacteriota archaeon
Lineage: Archaea; Methanobacteriati; Methanobacteriota
Description: Euryarchaeota archaeon (freshwater metagenome) tRNA-Thr
Rfam family: tRNA
About the family: Transfer RNA (tRNA) molecules are approximately 80 nucleotides in length. Their secondary structure includes four short double-helical elements and three loops (D, anti-codon, and T loops). Further hydrogen bonds mediate the characteristic L-shaped molecular structure. tRNAs have two regions of fundamental functional importance: the anti-codon, which is responsible for specific mRNA codon recognition, and the 3' end, to which the tRNAs corresponding amino acid is attached (by aminoacyl-tRNA synthetases). tRNAs cope with the degeneracy of the genetic code in two manners: having more than one tRNA (with a specific anti-codon) for a particular amino acid; and 'wobble' base-pairing, i.e. permitting non-standard base-pairing at the 3rd anti-codon position.
Source: RNAcentral